RNAcentral lists this ribosomal RNA (544 nucleotides) under Phrontis cf. alba LAG-2016. Its description in RNAcentral is "partial 12S ribosomal RNA". Lineage: Eukaryota; Metazoa; Mollusca; Gastropoda; Neogastropoda; Nassariidae. The record is from RNAcentral.
GGUUAUACCAAGUGAUUAAGUUAUAUUUAUAGGUAAAAAGACAGUUAGAUCUAUGAAAAUUUAGUUGAUUGAUCAUUUAUACAAAAGUAAAAUUUGGAUAUAAAUAGUUAAUUUAAUAACGACUUUAUAUAUUGAAGCUGUGACAGUUUUGAGGGAAACUGGGAUUAGAUACCCCAUUAUUCUUGACUGUAAAUAUAAUUAGAUUUACCUGAGUACUAUGAAUAGUUAAAAAUUUAAAACUCAAAGGGCUUGGCGGUGUUUUAGACCUAUCAGGGGAACCUGUCCCAUAAUCGACAAUCCGCGUUGUACCUAACCUUAUUUUGUAUCCAGUUUGUAUACCGUCGUCGUCAGGUAACUUUUAAAAACAAAGAAGUUAGCAACAUGAAUUUUUAAGUUAAAACGUCAGAUCAAGGUGCAGCUUAUAAUAAGGAGAGGAUGGGUUACAAUUAUUAAAUUUAUAAUCACGAAAAUUUAAAUGAAAAUAUAUUUAGAAGGAGGACUUGAAAGUAAACUAAAAUAUAUAAAUAGAUUGAAUAAGGCUCUG